ACACUGCUAACGAGUCCCAUAAUAGGACGAAACAGCCGUCCAGUGC
RNAcentral lists this non-coding RNA (46 nucleotides) under Schistosoma haematobium. The record is from RNAcentral. Lineage: Eukaryota; Metazoa; Platyhelminthes; Trematoda; Strigeidida; Schistosomatidae. RNAcentral also lists the same sequence under 1 other name.